Molecule: ribosomal RNA, 365 nt
Filed under: uncultured bacterium
Lineage: Bacteria
Description: bacterial SSU rRNA
Rfam family: Bacterial small subunit ribosomal RNA
Source: RNAcentral
ACUCCUACGGGAGGCAGCAGUGGGAAUAUUGGACAAUGGGGGAAACCCUGAUCCAGCCAUGCCGCGUGUGUGAAGAAGGCCUUCUGGGUUGUAAAGCACUUUCAGUUGGGGAGGAAAGGUUGUUGGUUAAUACCUAACAGCUGUGACGUUACCCACAGAAGAAGCACCGGCUAACUCCGUGCCAGCAGCCGCGGUAAUACGGAGGGUGCAAGCGUUAAUCGGAAUUACUGGGCGUAAAGCGUGCGCAGGCGGUCUGUUAAGCGAGAUGUGAAAGCCCCGGGCUCAACCUGGGAACUGCAUUUCGAACUGGCAGACUAGAGUCUUGUAGAGGGGGUAGAAUUCCAGGUGUAGCGGUGAAAUUGCGU